This 497-nucleotide ribosomal RNA is filed under the name uncultured bacterium. Its description in RNAcentral is "partial 16S ribosomal RNA". It matches the Rfam family "Bacterial small subunit ribosomal RNA", at positions 28 to 507 of the family's 1533-position model. The record is from RNAcentral.
GAUGAACGCUGGCGGCGUGCCUAAUACAUGCAAGUCGAGCGAACAGACGAGGAGCUUGCUCCUCUGAUGUUAGCGGCGGACGGGUGAGUAACACGUGGAUAACCUACCUAUAAGACUGGGAUAACUUCGGGAAACCGGAGCUAAUACCGGAUAACAUGUUGAACCGCAUGGUUCAACAGUGAAAGACGGUCUUGCUGUCACUUAUAGAUGGAUCCGCGCCGCAUUAGCUAGUUGGUAAGGUAACGGCUUACCAAGGCAACGAUGCGUAGCCGACCUGAGAGGGUGAUCGGCCACACUGGAACUGAGACACGGUCCAGACUCCUACGGGAGGCAGCAGUAGGGAAUCUUCCGCAAAGGGCGAAAGCCUGGCGGAGCAACGCCGCGUGAGUGAAGAAGGUCUUCGGAUCGUAAAACUCUGUUAUUAGGGAAGAACAAAUGUGUAAGUAACUAUGCACGUCUUGACGGUACCUAAUCAGAAAGCCACGGCUAACUACGUG